GAUGAACGCUGGCGGCGUGCCUAAUACAUGCAAGUCGAGCGAACGGACGAUAAGCUUUCUUCUCUGAUGUUAGCGGCGGACGGGUGAGUAACACGUGGAUAACCUACCUAUAAGACUUGGAUAACUUCGGGAAACCGGAGCUAAUACCGGAUGAUAUUUUGAACCGCAUGGUUCAAAAGUGAAAGACGGUCUUGCUGUCACUUAUAGAUGGAUCCGCGCUGCAUUAGCUAGUUGGUAAGGUAACGGCUUACCAAGGCAACGAUGCAUAGCCGACCUGAGAGGGUGAUCGGCCACACUGGAACUGAGACACGGUCCAGACUCCUACGGGAGGCAGCAGUAGGGAAUCUUCCGCAAUGGGCGAAAGCCUGACGGAGCAACGCCGCGUGAGUGAUGAAGGUCUUCGGAUCGUAAAACUCUGUUAUUAGGGAAGAACAUAUGUGUAAGUAACUGUGCACAUCUUGACGGUACCUAAUCAGAAAGCAACGGCUAACUACGUG
Molecule: ribosomal RNA, 497 nt
Filed under: uncultured bacterium
Lineage: Bacteria
Description: partial 16S ribosomal RNA
Rfam family: Bacterial small subunit ribosomal RNA
Source: RNAcentral